AUUUAUACUCGGAUAUCCUUCCGGUGGUCCCAGCCGCGCGUGCUUUACCAACCGCUCGGGGUGUGCGUUUCACCUAACUUCCUGCUACAGGCGCUUAGGGGAGUCCAGGCGCAGAGUAUCUGCAGAUUAACAGCAGAUCAAGAUGGGGUCCCACUGGGAAGACUUCAGAACUAGCGUUCUACUGGAUAUCAGUUUUAAAAUAUCACUUUUUUUUUCUUAAAUCCUUGAAAAGUUCCAGUGUGAUUUUUGUAUUUCAAACUCCAUUUUCUCAUCUCAACUACUCUCCGUGGGCCAUAGUUAGUUGCACUAAGUUAAGUCUGGGAAUAGAAAUUCCAGUUUGACCCCAGAAAUCUUCCAUGGGGUGGGGGGAGGGGGUGGUACAGAAGGAGAAGGGGCGGGAGCCGGCAGAUGGAGGGGAAGGCGGGGAGGAGGCUGGGGGAGGCUCUGGGAGCCGGAGCCCCCCACCCGGAGCCCGCGGUGACGUAGAUCUGGGCGCGGGGUGAGGCAGCCCUCGCCCACCGGGCUUUGGGCAGUGUUCCGCUGACCUCGUGACGAUCCGCGGUGGACAUGGGUUCCAUCCAGGACCCGGACUGCGCUCUCAGGGGAGGCCGCGCCUCAGUCCAGGCGUUACCUUCCGCCGUGGCAUUUCUCUCGGUGCCUGGUGCCUAACGUUCGCUAACGUAACCGGCUGCUGCAGCUCGGGGCCCUCUCCAACUUAGGGCAUUUGCAACAGAAACUACUCCGGACGAGCGCCAAGGGAGGGGCUUGUGCCUGCAAAGCUGGACGCUCAGCCAGGGGCCAUUCUGCAUGUGUGCAAUGAUUCCGAAAAUUCGCGCUGGAAGAAGCUAUAAUGGGAUCAAUGUCUCUCUGCGCCACGACACAUCAUUGUGCCGUCUAACAUCACCCUUCCUUGCUGUGCAAAAUUGCAGGACAAGAUGGAUCGUCUGUGCGAACAGGCUUCUCCCGGGGUCCCCGCUGCUGGGCUCUACCUCUUUAUACACCAAGAAGAUCCUGAUGUGGGCUCUAGGACAUCAAUAUCUUCACUAAAGGAGAUUUACACCCUCCACGUUGUCACCACCCACUGCAGUGUCUCUGCAGGGUAAGUGUCCGCUGUGCCUUUAAAAGCACAGCUGCGUCCUCCCCUCUCCAGUGUUUGCACUUUUACCUGUAAUCUGAUUGCAGGGAGGAAAGGAAAACCCCGGCGCCCCUCCCUAGCACCCCUCCCCAGCACCCUGUCACCGAGACCGUCUGUUUGGUUAGUAAUUCUACCCAGCUAGGACUUUUCCUUCGCUUGCUGCUCGCUCCUCCACCGAGCUGCAUCUCCAUGGCAAUGGAAAAACACGAUGCUGGAGAGGACUGGGAGGGCCCACAGCCCUGAAACCCUGCCCUCAGCUCCCGCCUGGCGGGAGGGGCUGGGCUGAUGUAUAUGUCGAGUUUAGGGGCUUGAGAUUCAGAGAUCAAAGGAGGUCAAGAGGGGGCUGUUGGAAUGGGAGAUAUUUAUUGUGUUUAAUAUAAUAUAAAUGUGUCCGAGGAGAGAAACUGAAACCUUGAAAGUCAUGUGGAUUGUGGGGAGUAAACAUAAACAGCACGUCUGAAAGUGGGCUCAAAAGAACUGGCUGCCUGAAAGGCUGCCAUAUUUUAAAAAAUUUAAACGGAGGGUAAAUUAAGACUGUAACCAUCUCAAUGAAAACUGAAGAUACAACUCUGUCAAAAACAUUGGCUAAGAUUUCUAACUCUGCUUCAGACCUGCUUUGUAAUACCUUCUGGCUGUAAAUGCCAGGAUGACCCAGAGCACUUGAGAAAUUUCUGGUUACACUUCCUAGCAACCUGUGUUUUGUUCUUAAGGACAUUUGCUUCAUACUAUUAACUAUACAGUUAACUUUGUGCCAGUUAAACAACGUGAAUUGGACAAAUUGUGGGCUGGCGGUGUGGGUGCCCAUUGGAGAAAGGGACUUUGUGCCUGGGGGUCUCCAUUAAUGAAACAAGAAAUAAGCCUCUAGUAAAACUGAUAUGAUGGGGAAUGACUUCUAUUCAGUUAACUCAAUUA
Molecule: long non-coding RNA, 2047 nt
Filed under: Bos indicus x Bos taurus (hybrid cattle)
Lineage: Eukaryota; Metazoa; Chordata; Mammalia; Artiodactyla; Bovidae
Description: lncRNA (ENSBIXG00000028640.1)
Source: RNAcentral